GGAGGGUGCGAGCGUUAAUCGGAAUUACUGGGCGUAAAGCGCACGUAGGCUGUAUAUCAAGUCAAGGGUGAAAUCCCCGGGCUCAACCUGGGAACUGCCUUUGAAACUGGUAAACUGGAGUAUGUGAGAGGGUGGCGGAAUUCCUGGUGUAGGAGUGAAAUCCGUAGAUAUCAGGAGGAACAUCAGUGGCGAAGGCGGCCACCUGGCACAAAACUGACGCUGAGGUGCGAAAGCGUGGGUAGCAAACAGGAUUAGAUACCCUGGUAGUCCACGCUGUAAACGAUGGAUACUAGGUGUUGGGAUGUAUGUCUCGGCGCCGUAGCUAACGCGUUAAGUAUCCCGCCUGGGGAGUACGGUCGCAAGGCUGAAACUCAAAGG
RNAcentral lists this ribosomal RNA (378 nucleotides) under uncultured bacterium. Its description in RNAcentral is "bacterial SSU rRNA". It matches the Rfam family "Bacterial small subunit ribosomal RNA", at positions 527 to 907 of the family's 1533-position model. The record is from RNAcentral.